GAAAAGUAGAGUCUGUCAGAGUGACCAGGAGUGGUCUUAUUUUCAUUAAUUGUAUUUCUGAAGAACAGAGGAAUAUUGCAGUUGGUCUCAAAAGAAUCCGGACGAUAGAAGUUUUGUGUUUUGAACUUCGGAGUAGAGCACCUGUCAAAGGAGUCAUCUCAGGGUGACGAAGGAUGUUCAGGUUGAAUCCCUGAAGAGAAUUCCUUGUGUGGUUGGUGCCUGGCCUCUGAUCCGCUGGGUGAAUGGAGGAAAUUAAGAAAGUCCGUUGGUCUUGGUUAUCCAAAUCAGGAUGCCAAACCCACCGCCCUAUGGGACUCCCAAUCACAACCGGAUGUGACACAGCCUGGAUUCAAACCAGAGACUGUAGUGGACACCUCUUGAACUGAGAUGCAGUGCCUUAGACCGCUGUGCCACUUGGGAGCCCAAUGAACAGAGUACACUGAAGAACAGUGUGUAGAAGGACGACAGUGUUGUAAUUAUGGUGGGGAUCAUGAUCCUGAGUUCCUGGAGUGCCCUGUAAGGGUGAAGGAAAUUGAGUUGGCAAAAGUUAGAGCAGUCAAUCAAAUCUCCUAUACGGGGUGAUCAAAAUAAUUGAGAAAACAAAUGAUGCUAGUAAAGAAAUGGAGGUGGUUUUUGUUGCGUUCAUUGCCACAGUCUUUACAACUUCUUGAUCAAACAUCAUUUUGUCAGAGAAAGAAAAUCAUGAGCUUCCGAAAUUGGUAACACUGAAGUCAAAGUUCGGUAGGAAGGGCCAGCAAGCUAAAAUGAGUGAAUCGUUUGAGCAGAGUUGAGUAGCUAUGCCAGACCUUCUCAACUCUGCUCGAACACUUGCAGCAUUAUAGCUAGCUAGUCUAUGGUAGUCUCGGUUAAUGAUAUUAGAUAUGUUUUUCUUUGAUCGUUGUGUUUGGUUUGGAUAUGUGUACUAAAUAGCCCUCUACUUUUCUUUAUUUUACAAAACACAAACACCAUCGAAUGGAGACACCAGUUUUUUUUUUCUGUCACCCAGCACUGCCUGUUCACCAACCCACAGCACUUACUGGUCAUCAUCCAUCUCCUACACUGAGCUGCAGUACAGAAUGGAAAACCAUCUCCAUGCAGGCCCUGGGAAGCCCUAUCCUGGGCCCAUCUCCAAGACCUACUCCACUUGCUUGCUCCUCAGUGAUGCCACAGAGCAGCAGCAGUAGUAGCAGGGGUGUGAGAAAGGGAGGAAAGAGCUGCAGACUCAGCCCUUGACACAUCACUGGCAAAGACAUUGCAAACGAUUGAAGACAGAUCUCAAAAAUCUGGAGAACGUCAUGCACUGAGCCAGCAGCUUGUCCCAGAG
RNAcentral lists this long non-coding RNA (1324 nucleotides) under Salmo salar (Atlantic salmon). RNAcentral's name for it is "lncRNA (ENSSSAG00000111228.1)". Lineage: Eukaryota; Metazoa; Chordata; Actinopteri; Salmoniformes; Salmonidae. The record is from RNAcentral.